This 251-nucleotide ribosomal RNA is filed under the name uncultured bacterium. RNAcentral describes it as "partial 16S ribosomal RNA". It matches the Rfam family "Bacterial small subunit ribosomal RNA", at positions 524 to 776 of the family's 1533-position model. The record is from RNAcentral.
GACGAACCGUGCGAACGUUGUUCGGAAUCACUGGGCUUAAAGGGCGCGUAGGCGGCUUGUCAAGUCAGGGGUGAAAUCUUUCGGCUCAACCGGAAAAGUGCCCUUGAUACUGAUGAGCUCGAGGGAGGUAGGGCAUGUGGAACUUCUGGUGGAGCGGUGAAAUGCGCAGAUAUCGGGAAGAACACCCGUGGCGAAGGCGGCUCUCUGGGACGGUACUGACGCUGAGACGCGAAAGCGUGGGAGCGAACAGG